Molecule: ribosomal RNA, 372 nt
Filed under: Citrobacter freundii
Lineage: Bacteria; Pseudomonadati; Pseudomonadota; Gammaproteobacteria; Enterobacterales; Enterobacteriaceae
Also listed under: 1 other name
Description: bacterial SSU rRNA
Rfam family: Bacterial small subunit ribosomal RNA
Source: RNAcentral
CAGUGAUAAACUGGAGGAAGGUGGGGAUGACGUCAAGUCAUCAUGGCCCUUACGAGUAGGGCUACACACGUGCUACAAUGGCAUAUACAAAGAGAAGCGACCUCGCGAGAGCAAGCGGACCUCAUAAAGUAUGUCGUAGUCCGGAUUGGAGUCUGCAACUCGACUCCAUGAAGUCGGAAUCGCUAGUAAUCGUGGAUCAGAAUGCCACGGUGAAUACGUUCCCGGGCCUUGUACACACCGCCCGUCACACCAUGGGAGUGGGUUGCAAAAGAAGUAGGUAGCUUAACCUUCGGGAGGGCGCUUACCACUUUGUGAUUCAUGACUGGGGUGAAGUCGUAACAAGGUAACCGUAGGGGAACCUGCGGUUGGAUC